Non-coding RNA from Python bivittatus (Burmese python), 197 nucleotides. The record is from RefSeq and is a predicted model, not a curated record. Lineage: Eukaryota; Metazoa; Chordata; Lepidosauria; Squamata; Pythonidae.
UCGUGAGAUACACCAUAAGGCAAUUUAACAAUCACAGUAAACACCCUGCCUUAUUUGAAGUUGGGCAAAUAACAGAAGCCUACGUUCAGGUGGUUGCUGGGUGGAAUUACCAUUUUGAAUAUUUGAUAAAAGAAACAAAUUGUUCCAAGAAUGAUUUUCCAGAUCUGAGUCCGGCAUGUAGACCCCUUCUUGGAGGU